Xiphias gladius (swordfish) is the source of this 553-nucleotide long non-coding RNA. RefSeq lists it as uncharacterized. Lineage: Eukaryota; Metazoa; Chordata; Actinopteri; Istiophoriformes; Xiphiidae. The record is from RefSeq and is a predicted model, not a curated record. The transcript is spliced from 2 exons.
CCCUACCCAAUAUAUUUACCAGCCAUUUUCACCAGCUCCUAGUCAGAUCAUCUGUUCAUGAGUCUGCUCAUGGUCCUGUGCUUAUUCCAGUUACCAGUGUGUUUUUCCUGUACCUCAGCCCACCUGUCUAACUUUCUCUUCAUACAGCUGAUAUCUGCUACCUUUUGGUCAUUCUGUUUUCGCUGAAGUCUCCAUAGUCACUUAUGGAGGGAAACCCAACCCUCUGCUCAAUCCAUUGGGCAACACUGAGCAACUUCUUCUCUUGGACAGCAGGACCUAUGAGUUGUAAGCCGAUGGGAAGGCCUCGUCUUGAUAAUGCAGUUGGCACUGAAACAGCAGGGAGACCUGGGGUGAAAGAGUUGAAGAAGAUUAAUGGAAAACAAAUUAUAAGGAUCUUAAGGUUAGAUGUUAGUUUGGAGAGUGAUAAAAGGAGGGAAAAGGUUUAACUGAAUGUAAAAACUCCUUUAAGUCUCUGUGCUGAAAUUAUUAUGAGGUUGAAGGCUAUGGUAUUUGUCUUCAGACAUUAAAGUAAAAAGAACUGCUUUUACUCACA